UGCCCCCUAGUUUAAGGGCAGAACACCUGACUCUGGAUCAGGCGGUCGUGGUUCGAAUCCACGGGGGGCAGCCA
This 74-nucleotide transfer RNA is filed under the name Armatimonadota bacterium. RNAcentral describes it as "Armatimonadetes bacterium tRNA-Gln". It matches the Rfam family "tRNA". From Rfam's summary of the family: Transfer RNA (tRNA) molecules are approximately 80 nucleotides in length. Their secondary structure includes four short double-helical elements and three loops (D, anti-codon, and T loops). Lineage: Bacteria; Bacillati; Armatimonadota. The record is from RNAcentral. RNAcentral also lists the same sequence under 1 other name.